Papilio polytes (common Mormon) is the source of this 540-nucleotide long non-coding RNA. RefSeq lists it as uncharacterized. Lineage: Eukaryota; Metazoa; Arthropoda; Insecta; Lepidoptera; Papilionidae. The transcript has 2 exons. The record is from RefSeq and is a predicted model, not a curated record.
CUACAUAAAUCAAGAGAGACAGUAACAUCUAUGGUUACGUCAGGAGAUAAUUUAAAAAUCACUAAUGUCAAAAUCAUCCCUAUUUUAUAAUAAAAUAAUAACAAAUGUAAUGUAAUGGCGAGUUGUGGUUUGCGAAGCUUGAAACGGGCGUUCUCGAGGUACAAGGACCAUGAUGAACUUCAGAGGUCUGUGGAGGAACGGCCGCCUCGGACGCCGACGCCGAGCUUCGCAUCUUGUAUAAGUGACACUUGUAGCCAUCAGCAGUCAUCAGACCGUCGUGAUCCCGAUGCAACUCCCAGAGCACCAGCAACUCGAGGACGGUCACCAGUUCCGUUAAAUGGAUGCUGCAUAAGUUUAAUGGACCGUAUAUCAUGUUCAAUGGCUACGUCAUUGAAAAGUAUUCACAUGUUAUACAAGACAGUCUCCAGCGACAGAUUCACUUGGCAGUUGAUCAAAAGUAUCAUAUUCUUCACACUCGGCUUGAAGUUGUUUAACGACAUAGCGAGACACAUGGCAAAGAACAAUAAAUAAAUAAAUGAA